CAGUAGCCGCGGGAAUACAGAGGGUGCAAGCGUUAAUCGGAAUUACUGGGCGUAAAGCGCGCGUAGGUGGUUUGUUAAGUUGGAUGUGAAAUCCCCGGGCUCAACCUGGGAACUGCAUCCAAAACUGGCAAGCUAGAGUAUGGUAGAGGGUGGUGGAAUUUCCUGUGUAGCGGUGAAAUGCGUAGAUAUAGGAAGGAACACCAGUGGCGAAGGCGACCACCUGGACUGAUACUGACACUGAGGUGCGAAAGCGUGGGGAGCAAACAGGAUUAGAUACCCCGGUAGUCCCUGUCUCUUAUAA
This 301-nucleotide ribosomal RNA is filed under the name uncultured bacterium. Its description in RNAcentral is "partial 16S ribosomal RNA". It matches the Rfam family "Bacterial small subunit ribosomal RNA", at positions 509 to 809 of the family's 1533-position model. The record is from RNAcentral.